UGGCAGCCUACCAUGCAGUCGAGCGGAACGAGUUAUCUGAACCUUCGGGGGACGAUAACGGCGUCGAGCGGCGGACGGGUGAGUAAUGCCUAGGAAAUUGCCCUGAUGUGGGGGAUAACCAUUGGAAACGAUGGCUAAUACCGCAUAAUACCUACGGGUCAAAGAGGGGGACCUUCGGGCCUCUCGCGUCAGGAUAUGCCUAGGUGGGAUUAGCUAGUUGGUGAGGUAAUGGCUCACCAAGGCGACGAUCCCUAGCUGGUCUGAGAGGAUGAUCAGCCACACUGGAACUGAGACACGGUCCAGACUCCUACGGGAGGCAGCAGUGGGGAAUAUUGCACAAUGGGCGCAAGCCUGAUGCAGCCAUGCCGCGUGUGUGAAGAAGGCCUUCGGGUUGUAAAGCACUUUCAGUCGUGAGGAAGGUAGUGUAGUUAAUAGCUGCAUUAUUUGACGUUAGCGACAGAAGAAGCACCGGCUAACUCCGUGCCAGCAGCCGCGGUAAUACGGAGGGUGCGAGCGUUAAUCGGAAUUACUGGGCGUAAAGCGCAUGCAGGUGGUUUGUUAAGUCAGAUGUGAAAGCCCGGGGCUCAACCUCGGAAUAGCAUUUGAAACUGGCAGACUAGAGUACUGUAGAGGGGGGUAGAAUUUCAGGUGUAGCGGUGAAAUGCGUAGAGAUCUGAAGGAAUACCGGUGGCGAAGGCGGCCCCCUGGACAGAUACUGACACUCAGAUGCGAAAGCGUGGGGAGCAAACAGGAUUAGCCCCCGGGGGGAUUCAAAA
RNAcentral lists this ribosomal RNA (776 nucleotides) under Vibrio harveyi. Its description in RNAcentral is "bacterial SSU rRNA". It matches the Rfam family "Bacterial small subunit ribosomal RNA", at positions 40 to 804 of the family's 1533-position model. The record is from RNAcentral. Lineage: Bacteria; Pseudomonadati; Pseudomonadota; Gammaproteobacteria; Vibrionales; Vibrionaceae.